ACGGCUCAGUAACACGUGGAUAACCUGCCCAAAAGUCCGGGAUACCCCCGGGAAACUGGGGUUAAGACCGGAUGGGCCACUACGUCUGGAAUGUGUGGUGGUUUAAACGCGAGGCUUUUGGAUGGGUCUGCGGCGGAUUAGGUGGACGCCGGUGUAACGUACCGGCGUGCCGGUCAUCCGUACGGGUUGUGGGAGCAAGAGCCCGGAGAUGGAUUCUGAGACACGAAUCCAGGCCCUACGGGGCGCAGCAGGCGCGAAAACUCUACAAUGCAGGCAACUGCGAUAGGGGGACAUCGAGUGAUACCCACCUUGGGUAUCUGUCCCACCGUCUAAAAAACGGUGGUUAGCAAGGGCCGGGUAAGACCGGUGCCAGCCGCCGCGGUAAUACCGGCGGCUCGAGUGGUGGCCGAUAUUAUUGAGUCUAAAGGGUCCGUAGCCGGCUCCGCAAGUCCCCUGGGAAAUCCAGCGGCCUAACCGUUGGGCGCCCAUGGGAUACUACGUUGCUUGGGACUGGGAGAGGUGGGAGGUACUCGGGGGGUAGGGGUGAAAUCCUGUAAUCCUCCGGGGACCACCGGUGGCGAAGGCGUCCCACCAGAACAGGUCCGACGGUGAGGGACGAAAGCUAGGGGCACGAACCGGAUUAGAUACCCGGGUAGUCCUAGCCGUAAACGAUGCCCGCUAGGUGUCACGGCGGUCGUGAAUCGCCGUGGUGCCGUAGGGAAGCCGCGAAGCGGGCCACUUGGGAAGUACGGCCGCAAGGCUGAAACUUAAAGGAAUUGGCGGGGGAGCAC
This 791-nucleotide ribosomal RNA is filed under the name uncultured archaeon. RNAcentral describes it as "bacterial SSU rRNA". It matches the Rfam family "Archaeal small subunit ribosomal RNA", at positions 85 to 879 of the family's 1478-position model. The record is from RNAcentral.